Long non-coding RNA from Peromyscus eremicus (cactus mouse), 604 nucleotides. RefSeq lists it as uncharacterized. The transcript has 2 exons. NCBI's taxonomy places the organism in Eukaryota, Metazoa, Chordata, Mammalia, Rodentia, Cricetidae. The record is from RefSeq and is a predicted model, not a curated record.
UGUGGAUGUCUUUCUGUAUGCUGUGAAUAUGUGUUGCUGUGAUUGGUUGAUAAAUAAAGCUGUUUGGCCUAUGGCAAGGCAGCUUAGAGGCAGGCGGGAAAUUCAAAGAGAUAGACAGGAAGAGAAAGGACAGCAAGGAGGACGCUGCUAGAUGCUACCAGGAGAAGCAAGAUAUAAAAGUACCAGUAAGUCACAAGCCAUGUGGCAAAGUAUAGAUUUCUAGAAAUGGGUUAGUUUAAGGUCUAAGAGCUAGCUAGUGAGUAUCCUGAGCCAUUAGGCCAUAUCAUUUGUAAAUAAUAUAAGCCUCUGUGUGUUUAUUUGGGUCUGAGCAGGACACAGGAAAAACUUCAACUACAGGAAAGCCUUUAACCUCCCCUCCCUCAGGCAUAUGGAGCUCUGGGAAUACAUCUCUAAAGGCCAACUUCCUGCUCUCCACAUACUCAGUUGAGAUUAAUUAUAAAAGAUGCAUCAUUACAAAUUUCAGGGACGACGGGCUGAGGAACUGGGACUUUUAUUUUAGUAGAUGUCGAAGACUGGACAGCCACGAGGCUGUUUUUCCUGCUGGCUAUCUGCUUUCAAAAUAAAAAGAAAUCAGUAUGUAAAA